GGCAUGGUGUAGUGGUUUGAGUGUUGGACUAUGGCUCUUGUGACCAGGGUUCAAAUCCCUGCUCAGUCA
Molecule: transfer RNA, 69 nt
Filed under: Phrynosoma platyrhinos (Desert horned lizard)
Lineage: Eukaryota; Metazoa; Chordata; Lepidosauria; Squamata; Phrynosomatidae
Description: tRNA-OTHER
Source: RNAcentral